This 72-nucleotide transfer RNA is filed under the name Caligus rogercresseyi. It matches the Rfam family "tRNA". From Rfam's summary of the family: Transfer RNA (tRNA) molecules are approximately 80 nucleotides in length. Lineage: Eukaryota; Metazoa; Arthropoda; Copepoda; Siphonostomatoida; Caligidae. The record is from Rfam by way of RNAcentral.
GCCUCUAUAGCUCAGUGGCAGAGCACUGGUCUUGUAAACCAGGGAUCAAGAGUUGGAUCCUCUCUGGAGACA